Long non-coding RNA from Mus musculus (house mouse), 2340 nucleotides. RefSeq annotates it as predicted gene, 53882. NCBI's taxonomy places the organism in Eukaryota, Metazoa, Chordata, Mammalia, Rodentia, Muridae. The transcript is spliced from 3 exons. The record is from RefSeq and is a predicted model, not a curated record.
UUGCAGAGAAAGUUGUUUUUUUUGUUUGUUUGUUUUUUUUAAAAAGUCACUGAGAUCAAAGGAUGCUCUCCUCUUUGACCUAUGAACACUCAAUCAAGGAAAAGCCAUGGCAUGCUUCAUGCUCUGUGGCCACUGUUACAAUCUUCUUUUCUGGCAGGAACAGACAUAUAAUAAACUAGGCAAUAAAUCUGCACAAGUGGCACAAAGCAGUUAGACAACAGUGCUCAGAGGCAGGCAGCUACAAUCUGUGCUGUGACUGGAAGGGGACUGAAGGACAGAAAGAGGGGGAAAUAAAUGGGAAGUAAGCGGUAACUGAGGUCACGGUGGUCCUCUGCCUACAUGGACAAUGUCAUCAGAUGACAGCUUGGAUAGAAAUGCUUGGCAGAACCAAGGUAGGCAGGUUGUAUUUAAUACCCAUUAGCCAAUGUGACUCUAGGAAUCUGGACACUGGGUUCUCACUCUAGAUUUCCCACUAUUUAGUGGUAUGGAAUAUCAAAGGCAUGUGAUUCUACAAAAUGGAAUUCUUAUAUGUACAAGGAAAAGAAAACAGCCCUUUUAUUUAUUUUAUGAAUAAAAAUUCCAUAUGAAUAUUAUAUGAAGUUAGCAUGAUAAGAAGUAAGACGUAUUCUAUAGUGUGUGUGAAGGGGGAGGUACGUGUGCACAUGUCCCAGUGUGUGGAAACCCGAGACCAAUGUUGGAUGUUUUCCUCAAUUACUCUCCAUUUUAUGUUUGAGACAGGGUCGUUCUCUGAACCUGGAGCUUAGUGACACAGCUAAAAUGGCUAGUCAAGAGCUGCAGGGGUCUGCCUGUCUGUGUCCCAUACCCUCUCCCCACGAGGAGGAUCCCCAGCCUCGUCCUGAAGUUUGCUCCUAAUGCAUGGACUUUAUUGACCAGCCCUGGUGGAAUUGAAAGGAGAAGAAGAACGCGUAGGAGCACUUGCCCAGUGGCAAACCGUAGAGAUCGUGUAAGACAAAACCAGAAAAGAAUACUGGAAGGAACGAGAAAAGAAAGAAGAGAUGAAAGACACUGAAAAACAAGUGCCAAAAAGAAUCCCUUCAAAUAAACGAGACAGAUUUACAUUUUACAACCAGAAAGCUUGGAUCAUACCUAAUCCUCCGCCAAAACCAACUCUAAAGGCUGACAAGCUUCCUGCAGACAACUUCUACUCAACCCUGAAAAGACAAAGCUGAGGAGCCUCAUUGUCCAUCACGCCAUCUCCACUGGGAACAUGGUCAGCCCUAGCUGUGGGGCAGCAGGAGCCCUGCAGGGCUGACAGAGAUGUACUUGAAGGCAGGACUUCUCUCUGCAACAGAUGCAGAUCACUACAGAAAACCACUAUGGAUCAAAAUGCCUGUUCCCAGCGGACGCAUCUACAACACAACUCCUGCACCCAAGGCUCAGAGGUGGAAAGAUUAUAAGAGCUAAAAGAACAGGUAGGUAGUUUGCUGUAAGAUUUUUCCUCCUAGGAACACAAGAGAAAGUACCCCGAGGAAGUCUGACAAAAAUGGCUGGCUAGACAUGACCUGAACAAGGAAGACACCCACUAUGCCUUGGAGGAAGACAGAAGCUCAGGAGGCCUCAUCCCCAGACAAAGAACUGUGCAACUAAGGAAUGCAACGAAAGUGGAAAAUCGGUCUUCCCCAGGAAAAGCAUAACUGUUUCUGCAAUAGCAAAUGGUCGGUCAUCCCUGAAGGCUGGAUGGGGCAGUAACUUAGGGCUAGAGGGAUGACUGCGCAGUUAGAACACUGGCUGGUGUAGCAGAGGAGCUGGGCUCAGUUCCCAGCAUCAUGGCAGCUCCUAACUGUCUGUACUCCAGCUCCAGGGGUCCGAUGCCCACUUCUGGCUAUCUGCAGGACAAAGUACCCACAGGACGUACUGACAUAUAUUUGUGCAAACACUCAUGCACAUAAAAUAAGUAAAUCUAAAACAAAAAGAGAGAAAAAGAGAGACCCAGUGAUGCACUGUCAACGUGAAUUGUUUGCCUGAAAUUAGAACCCAACAUUUCAUCAUCAUAACUAUGUAAGAAACUAACUUCUUUUCAUUUUAGUCAAGUUACCUUAGGUUUGUUAAAUUUGCUGCCUACUGAAAAUAAAGUUAAUACCAAUCAAUACCAUUAGAAAGCUAUAGUCCUGUCAUAAACAUGUCAAUUGUAUAAGCAAAGUAAAUGUUGAAGACAGAAAUCUUCAAAUAGGCUAAGGUUGCUACGUCACUGGUUCACCUGCUUAUAAAACUCCACACUCAUCCGUGUCGGAUAAUGUGACUUCCUCACAUAAUCACACUCACAAAAUCACACUCACAUAAUCACACUCACAAAAGGCUACUUCUAAAAAUGUCAGAACG